AUGGUCUAGUGGUUAGGACAUUGGACUCUGAAUCCAGUAACCCAAGUUUAGAUCUCUUGU
RNAcentral lists this transfer RNA (60 nucleotides) under Cucumis sativus (cucumber). It matches the Rfam family "tRNA", at positions 7 to 64 of the family's 71-position model. Rfam says of the family: Transfer RNA (tRNA) molecules are approximately 80 nucleotides in length. Their secondary structure includes four short double-helical elements and three loops (D, anti-codon, and T loops). The record is from Rfam by way of RNAcentral. Lineage: Eukaryota; Viridiplantae; Streptophyta; Magnoliopsida; Cucurbitales; Cucurbitaceae.